Molecule: ribosomal RNA, 468 nt
Filed under: uncultured bacterium
Lineage: Bacteria
Description: partial 16S ribosomal RNA
Rfam family: Bacterial small subunit ribosomal RNA
Source: RNAcentral
GACGAACGCUGGCGGCGUGCUUAACACAUGCAAGUCGAACGGAAAGGCCCUGCUUUUGUGGGGUGCUCGAGUGGCGAACGGGUGAGUAACACGUGAGUAACCUGCCCUUGACUUUGGGAUAACUUCAGGAAACUGGGGCUAAUACCGGAUAGGAGCUCCUGCUGCAUGGUGGGGGUUGGAAAGUUUCGGCGGUUGGGGAUGGACUCGCGGCUUAUCAGCUUGUUGGUGGGGUAGUGGCUUACCAAGGCUUUGACGGGUAGCCGGCCUGAGAGGGUGACCGGCAACAUUGGGACUGAGAUACGGACAAGAAUCCGACGAGAGGCAGCAGUGGGGAAUAUUGCACAAUGGGCGGAAGCCUGAUGCAGCAACGCCGCGUGCGGGAUGACGGCCUUCGGGUUGUAAACCGCUUUCGCCUGUGACGAAGCGUGAGCGACGGUAAUGGGUAAAGAAGCACCGGCUAACUACGUG